GACGAACGCUGGCGGCGUGCCUAAUACAUGCAAGUCGAGCGGACUUAAAAAGCUUGCUUUUUAAGUUAGCGGCGGACGGGUGAGUAACACGUGGGCAACCUGCCUGUAAGACUGGGAUAACUUCGGGAAACCGGAGCUAAUACCGGAUAAUCCUUUUCUACUCAUGUAGAAAAGCUGAAAGACGGUUUACGCUGUCACUUACAGAUGGGCCCGCGGCGCAUUAGCUAGUUGGUGAGGUAACGUCUCACCAAGGCGACGAUGCGUAGCCGACCUGAGAGGGUGAUCGGCCACACUGGGACUGAGACACGGCCCAGACUCCUACGGGAGGCAGCAGUAGGGAAUCUUCCGCAAUGGACGAAAGUCUGACGGAGCAACGCCGCGUGAGUGAUGAAGGUUUUCGGAUCGUAAAACUCUGUUGUUAGGGAAGAACAAGUACGAGAGUAACUGCUCGUACCUUGACGGUACCUAACCAGAAAGCCACGGCUAACUACGUG
Molecule: ribosomal RNA, 494 nt
Filed under: uncultured bacterium
Lineage: Bacteria
Description: partial 16S ribosomal RNA
Rfam family: Bacterial small subunit ribosomal RNA
Source: RNAcentral